This 82-nucleotide non-coding RNA is filed under the name Legionella shakespearei DSM 23087. Its description in RNAcentral is "Legionella RNA 69". It matches the Rfam family "Legionella RNA 69". The record is from Rfam by way of RNAcentral. Lineage: Bacteria; Pseudomonadati; Pseudomonadota; Gammaproteobacteria; Legionellales; Legionellaceae.
AGACAGCGCUAUCGCGCUUCCUCAGCCCGAACGGCAUCGAAGUAACGACUGGAUAAAGCAAGCUUCUUAUCCAUAACUCAGU